UACGUAGGGUGCGAGCGUUAAUCGGAAUUACUGGGCGUAAAGCGUGCGCAGGCGGUUUUGUAAGACAGAGGUGAAAUCCCCGGGCUCAACCUGGGAACUGCCUUUGUGACUGCAAGGCUUGAGUGCGGCAGAGGGGGAUGGAAUUCCUGGUGUAGCGGUGAAAUGCGUAGAUAUGCGGAGGAACACCGAUGGCGAAGGCAAUCCCCUGGGCCUGCACUGACGCUCAUGCACGAAAGCGUGGGGAGCAAACAGG
This 253-nucleotide ribosomal RNA is filed under the name uncultured bacterium. RNAcentral describes it as "partial 16S ribosomal RNA". It matches the Rfam family "Bacterial small subunit ribosomal RNA", at positions 524 to 776 of the family's 1533-position model. The record is from RNAcentral.